Molecule: small nucleolar RNA, 78 nt
Organism: Nymphaea colorata (pocket water lily)
Lineage: Eukaryota; Viridiplantae; Streptophyta; Magnoliopsida; Nymphaeales; Nymphaeaceae
Product: small nucleolar RNA snoR28
Exons: 1
Source: RefSeq, a predicted model, not a curated record
AAUGAAGGGGAUGAUGUCUUCCUUUGUGAAUAUGAGUAUGAUGUCCAGUGGCAAGCCUUCAAGCGCAUAUCUGAGACU